UACAAGCCCCCAACGUUGUAAUACAAGAUCAGAUAAAAACCAACAACUUUGUAAUACAAGAUGAGGGCUACACAUGUUCUACUCCUAGUCCUUGCCCUCUUCAUGCUAUCCCCAGAUCUGGCGAAGGCUAAGCUGCACUGCACGGAUUUCAUCAUAGUCAACCAGUGCGACGUGGACGAGAUCACAUGCCAACAUUACUGCUACAGCCAGUUCAAUGGAACCGGCAAGUGCAUCCCCAACAAAGGAUGCCAGUGUCAUUUCUGCUAUGCAACUCCACCCCAGCCAUCGCCUGCUAGCAGCUCCUAGUCGUAGUUUUCUCUGUAAUUUUCUGUUUCUUCAAGGUCAAUGUACAACAGUUAUGAACAUGAUUCGUUUCUAGUGCAACAACUAUGGCGCCAUAAUUAAUUACAUGUACUGUGGCCUAUACUGCCAAGUUAUAUGUUAAUGCAAUGUCUGUUUUGCUUUA
Molecule: long non-coding RNA, 466 nt
Organism: Triticum dicoccoides
Lineage: Eukaryota; Viridiplantae; Streptophyta; Magnoliopsida; Poales; Poaceae
Exons: 2
Source: RefSeq, a predicted model, not a curated record